CUCAAGGAAGCGUUUUGUCCACGAGGACAGAAAACGUUUCCUUGACGGCGCGCUUUCUGUCCACAUGGACAAAGCGCUUCCUUGAGG
Gossypium raimondii (Peruvian cotton) is the source of this 87-nucleotide microRNA precursor. It matches the Rfam family "MIR7486 microRNA precursor family". NCBI's taxonomy places the organism in Eukaryota, Viridiplantae, Streptophyta, Magnoliopsida, Malvales, Malvaceae. The record is from Rfam.